Molecule: small nuclear RNA, 107 nt
Organism: Bison bison bison
Lineage: Eukaryota; Metazoa; Chordata; Mammalia; Artiodactyla; Bovidae
Source: Ensembl
GUGCUCGAUUCGGCAGCACAUAUACUAAAAUUGGAACGAUACAGAGAAGAUUAGCAUGGCCCCUACGCAAGGAUGACAUGCAAAUUUGUGAAACAUUCCAUAUUUUU